Unclassified non-coding RNA from Microcebus murinus (gray mouse lemur), 102 nucleotides. It matches the Rfam family "Y RNA". Rfam says of the family: Y RNAs are components of the Ro ribonucleoprotein particle (Ro RNP), in association with Ro60 and La proteins. The Y RNAs and Ro60 and La proteins are well conserved, but the function of the Ro RNP is not known. In humans the RNA component can be one of four small RNAs -- hY1, hY3, hY4 and hY5. NCBI's taxonomy places the organism in Eukaryota, Metazoa, Chordata, Mammalia, Primates, Cheirogaleidae. The record is from Ensembl.
GGCUAGUCCAAGUACAGUGGUGAUUACAACUUAUGGAUUGCAACCAGUUACAGACUUCUUUGUUCCUUCUUCACUCCCACUGCUUCACUUGAUUAGCCUAAA